GCCGUGUUCUUUGGUAGCUAUGCAGUGAGGUCACCAUGCUCUAGGAACCAACAUUUGUCCUAUUUGGUGUCACCUCAGUCGUUUGGGUUCAGUCCUCAAAAUAGGACACAAGCAUCCACCGACGGGGUGAAGAGAGGAGAACCUGGUUCUGGGAAGAGGACUGCGGUGAGAUGGAUUGGACUGGGGAGAUGCUAGAGAUGGGGACCUGUUGGGGUUACUGUGUUGUCCAGGAACGUUUGAAAAUUUAGAAAUGCAGAAAGAAAAUGAAGAUCACCUGUAUCCUUGCCACCCAGAAAAACACACGCUCAGACCUUCCCUGGAGAGGAGAGGGACAGACCCUGAAGGGACCGAGUGUUUCCCCGUUUUACAUCAGAAGACACCAAGUUAUCCUGAGCAGAUGAUUUUCUACCCUCAGCAGAAAGGAAGCCCGAGAGCUCACUUUGCACCCUGGGACUUGGCCUGGGAACACAUGCAGACCAGCAAGGUCGUGCUUCCAGUUCCUCUGCUGCAAUCU
This is a long non-coding RNA of Piliocolobus tephrosceles (Ugandan red Colobus), 514 nucleotides long. RefSeq lists it as uncharacterized. The transcript is spliced from 4 exons. NCBI's taxonomy places the organism in Eukaryota, Metazoa, Chordata, Mammalia, Primates, Cercopithecidae. The record is from RefSeq and is a predicted model, not a curated record.